RNAcentral lists this ribosomal RNA (699 nucleotides) under Haptolina hirta. Its description in RNAcentral is "bacterial SSU rRNA". It matches the Rfam family "Bacterial small subunit ribosomal RNA", at positions 562 to 1270 of the family's 1533-position model. Lineage: Eukaryota; Haptophyta; Prymnesiales; Prymnesiaceae. The record is from RNAcentral.
AAAGCGCCUGUAGGUUGUUUAAUAAGUCUGUUGUUAAAGACUAGGGCUCAACCCUAGAAAAGCAAUGGAAACUACUAGACUAGAGUAUGGCAGGGGUAGAGGGAAUUUCUAGUGUAGCGGUGAAAUGCGUAGAUAUUAGAAAGAACACCAGUGGCGAAAGCGCUCUACUGGACCAUUACUGACACUCAGAGGCGAAAGCUAGGGUAGCAAAAGGGAUUAGAUACCCCUGUAGUCCUAGCCGUAAACGAUGGAUACUAGAUGUUGUAUUUAUUUUACAGUAUCGUAGCUAACGCGUUAAGUAUCCCGCCUGGGGAGUACGCUCGCAAGGGUGAAACUCAAAGGAAUUGACGGGGGCCCGCACAAGCGGUGGAGCAUGUGGUUUAAUUCGAUGCAACGCGAAGAACCUUACCAGGGCUUGACAUACUGCGAAUCUUUUUGAAAAGAAAGAGUGCCUUCGGGAAUGCAGAUACAGGUGGUGCAUGGCUGUCGUCAGCUCGUGUCGUGAGAUGUUGGGUUAAGUCCCGCAACGAGCGCAACCCUUGUUUUUAGUUACCAAUUCGUUGGGUUUUCUAGAAAGACUGCCGGUGACAAACCGGAGGAAGGUGAGGAUGACGUCAAGUCAGCAUGCCCCUUAUGUCCUGGGCUACACACGUGCUACAAUGGUUAGGACAAAGAGUUGCAAAUUGCAAAAAUUAGCUA